Vanessa tameamea is the source of this 723-nucleotide long non-coding RNA. RefSeq lists it as uncharacterized. The transcript is spliced from 2 exons. The record is from RefSeq and is a predicted model, not a curated record. Lineage: Eukaryota; Metazoa; Arthropoda; Insecta; Lepidoptera; Nymphalidae.
UACCCUUAGUACGAGUUUGACAGUUAACUUUAAGUAAUUUACUUUCGGUUUUCUUUUCAUACAAAUCCUAUCAGCGCCCCAAGCGUAAACGCAGAGGAACUAAAAUCGGUAGUAAGAGUUUUUAUAAUUAACGUUAUCAAGUUUGAAGUCGAAAUAACUGGCGGUUUUCGACAUUUUGGUAGUACGAGUAACACUUUUGACAGAUUUACGCAUGUAAAUUGACGUUUUCGUUAAUUUCUUAUCGAGUUUGAACUCACUUGAUUUAUUUAGGUGAGAGCAAGUGAAACUACAUUUUAAAAAUUAACUAUUAAGCGUGUGAGGCAAUAUUAUGCUUGAAGACUAGCUACAACCGUUAUGGUAGCCUUUUAUAACAAUAAAAAGCAACCAAAUUGAAUUCUGCGGUGAAAUUUAUCUUCAAUUAGCCGUAUUUUAAACUAACAUAUUUUCUUGAGAAUUGCCUUAGAAAAAAGUUAAUAAGUAUUUGUGUUAACAUGUGAAGAAGAAAUGAAUAAUAAAUAUUAAUUUAUUUUAAAUAUAUUUACAAAUAAGAUACAAACGCAAGGCUAUCAGUAUAUCUAUCCUUUAUUUGGAGCAGAUACGCUAGUAAUGAUGAUUUGGUGCAGACAAUAUCCAAAAAACAAGUGACCAUGCAUUAAACUGCAAUCUACAUUUCUACAUAAUUUCCUAUUUAUUUAAUUCAAACAAUAAAUAUACUAAAAAAUG